Molecule: ribosomal RNA, 254 nt
Filed under: uncultured bacterium
Lineage: Bacteria
Description: partial 16S ribosomal RNA
Rfam family: Bacterial small subunit ribosomal RNA
Source: RNAcentral
UACGUAGGGUGCGAGCGUUGUCCGGAAUUAUUGGGCGUAAAGAGCUCGUAGGCGGUGUGUCACGUCGUUCGUGAAAACCUGCAGCUUAACUGUGGGCGUGCGGUCGAUACGGGCAUCACUGGAGUUCGGCAGGGGAGACUGGAAUUCCUGGUGUAGUGGUGAAAUACGUAGAGAUUGGGAAGAACACCAGUGGCGAAGGCGGCUAUCUGGACGGUUACUGACGCUAAGACGCGAAAGCGUGGGGAGCAAACAGG